Molecule: small nuclear RNA, 97 nt
Organism: Sarcophilus harrisii (Tasmanian devil)
Lineage: Eukaryota; Metazoa; Chordata; Mammalia; Dasyuromorphia; Dasyuridae
Source: Ensembl
CUGCACUAAACAUACUAAAAUUGAAACUAUACAAAGAAUAUUAGCUUGGACCAUUAGCAAAGAUGACAUGAAAAUCUGUGAAGUAUUCCCUAAUUUC